This 85-nucleotide ribosomal RNA is filed under the name Triticum aestivum (bread wheat). The record is from RNAcentral. Lineage: Eukaryota; Viridiplantae; Streptophyta; Magnoliopsida; Poales; Poaceae.
GGAAUUAUCCACAGCAAUGUCAUAAGAACUCCUGGGAAGUACUAGGAUGGGUGACCUCCUGGGAAGUCCUCGUGAAAGGGUUUCA